RNAcentral lists this microRNA precursor (57 nucleotides) under Choloepus hoffmanni (Hoffmann's two-fingered sloth). Its description in RNAcentral is "miRNA (ENSCHOG00000014329.1)". The record is from RNAcentral. Lineage: Eukaryota; Metazoa; Chordata; Mammalia; Pilosa; Megalonychidae.
GAGGGUGCGUGUGUGUGUGUGUGUGUGUGUGUGUCCACACAUGCCUGCGGGCAUGCA